This 253-nucleotide unclassified non-coding RNA is filed under the name uncultured Acidobacteriota bacterium. RNAcentral describes it as "uncultured Acidobacteria bacterium contains 16S-23S intergenic spacer region". It matches the Rfam family "Bacterial small subunit ribosomal RNA", at positions 524 to 776 of the family's 1533-position model. The record is from RNAcentral. Lineage: Bacteria; Pseudomonadati; Acidobacteriota.
UACGGAGGGGGCCAGCGUUGUUCGGAAUUAUUGGGCGUAAAGGGCGCGUAGGCGGCCGAGCAAGUCGGAGGUGAAAUCCCUCGGCUCAACCGAGGAAUGGCCUCCGAUACUGCCUGGCUUGAGUCCCGGAGAGGGUAGUGGAAUUCCCAGUGUAGCGGUGAAAUGCGUAGAUAUUGGGAGGAACACCGGUGGCGAAGGCGGCUACCUGGACGGGUACUGACGCUGAGGCGCGAAAGCGUGGGGAGCAAACAGG